GCAAGCUUAACACAUGCAAGUCGAACGGAUUAUCUUUUAUAGCUUGCUAUGGAGGAUAAUUAGUGGCAGACGGGUGAGUAAUGCAUAGGAAUCUACCUAGUAGUAUGGGAUAGCCACUAGAAAUGGUGGGUAAUACUGUAUAAUCCCUGCGGGGGAAAGAUUUAUCGCUAUUAGAUGAGCCUAUGUUAGAUUAGCUAGUUGGUAGGGUAAAGGCCUACCAAGGCGAUGAUCUAUAGCUGGUCUGAGAGGAUGAUCAGCCAGACUGGAACUGAGAUACGGUCCAGACUCCUACGGGAGGCAGCAGUGGGGAAUAUUGGACAAUGGGCGCAAGCCUGAUCCAGCUAUGCCGCGUGAGUGAGGAAGGCCUUAGCGUUGUAAAACUCUUUCAGUAGGGAAGAUAAUGACGGUACCUACAGAAGAAGUCCCGGCAAACUCCGUGCCAGCAGCCGCGGUAAUACGGAGGGGGCAAGCGUUGUUCGGAAUUAUUGGGCGUAAAGGGCAUGUAGGCGGUUCGGUAAGUUAAAGGUGAAAUGCCAGGGCUUAAC
Molecule: ribosomal RNA, 545 nt
Filed under: Anaplasma phagocytophilum
Lineage: Bacteria; Pseudomonadati; Pseudomonadota; Alphaproteobacteria; Rickettsiales; Anaplasmataceae
Description: bacterial SSU rRNA
Rfam family: Bacterial small subunit ribosomal RNA
Source: RNAcentral